This 527-nucleotide ribosomal RNA is filed under the name Chlorencoelia torta. RNAcentral's name for it is "eukaryotic LSU rRNA". The stretch from base 166 to 319 matches the Rfam family "5.8S ribosomal RNA". The record is from RNAcentral. Lineage: Eukaryota; Fungi; Ascomycota; Leotiomycetes; Helotiales; Cenangiaceae.
UUUCGUAGGGUGAACCUGCGGAAGGAUCAUUACAGAGCUCAUGCCCGAAAGGGUAGACCUCCCACCCCUGCGUAUUCAUACCCUGUUGCUUUGGCGGUGCAUGCCCGCCAGAGGACCCUGAAACUCUGAAUGUUAGUGUCGUCUGAGUCCUAUAAUAAUAGUUAAAACUUUCAACAACGGAUCUCUUGGUUCUGGCAUCGAUGAAGAACGCAGCGAAAUGCGAUAAGUAAUGUGAAUUGCAGAAUUCAGUGAAUCAUCGAAUCUUUGAACGCACAUUGCGCCCCUUGGUAUUCCGGGGGGCAUGCCUGUUCGAGCGUCAUUUUCACCACUCAAGCUCUGCUUGGUAUUGGGCCCCGCUGGCAACGGCAGGCCUUAAAGACAGUGGCGGUGCCCUGAGGCCCUGAGCGUAGUACAUCUCUCGCUACAGGUCCCUGAGGGUCACUGGCCAGCAACCCCAAUUUUUUCGAAGGUUGACCUCGGAUCAGGUAGGGAUACCCGCUGAACUUAAGCAUAUCAAUAAGCGGAGG